GACGAACGCUGGCGGCGUGCUUAACACAUGCAAGUCGAACGGAAAGGCCCUGCUUGCAGGGUACUCGAGUGGCGAACGGGUGAGUAACACGUGGGUGAUCUGCCCUGCACUUCGGGAUAAGCCUGGGAAACUGGGUCUAAUACCGGAUAAGAGCCAUUUUUAGUGUGAUGGUUGGAAAGUUUUUUCGGUGUAGGAUGAGCUCGCGGCCUAUCAGCUUGUUGGUGGGGUAAUGGCCUACCAAGGCGGCGACGGGUAGCCGGCCUGAGAGGGUGGACGGCCACAUUGGGACUGAGAUACGGCCCAGACUCCUACGGGAGGCAGCAGUGGGGAAUAUUGCACAAUGGGCGCAAGCCUGAUGCAGCGACGCCGCGUGGGGGAUGACGGCCUUCGGGUUGUAAACUCCUUUCGCUAGGGACGAAGCUUUUUGUGACGGUACCUAGAUAAGAAGCACCGGCUAACUACGUG
RNAcentral lists this ribosomal RNA (465 nucleotides) under uncultured bacterium. RNAcentral's name for it is "partial 16S ribosomal RNA". It matches the Rfam family "Bacterial small subunit ribosomal RNA", at positions 28 to 507 of the family's 1533-position model. The record is from RNAcentral.